RNAcentral lists this long non-coding RNA (448 nucleotides) under Setaria viridis. RNAcentral describes it as "long non-coding RNA (SVIR_LNC000971)". Lineage: Eukaryota; Viridiplantae; Streptophyta; Magnoliopsida; Poales; Poaceae. The record is from RNAcentral.
GGAGGGUAGCGGGGAUGCCGCCGGAGCCAGGAGGGGAGGUUGCGUCAUUUUUAGCGAGGGGAUGAGGAAGGCGAUGAGAAAGAUAAGGUGGAGAGAGAAAAUGAAUCGCAACCGUUGAUCUGAGAUCGUGCGGAUGAAAAAUGUAGCCUAAAAAAAUAGAGAGUUGACAGGAGGGCACCGUUGCUGGUUAGCUCUUAGAUACAGAGGUGCUGAUGACACUCGCUGGACAAGCCUUCAGUUUGGGACUAAAAUACGUUGUGCCGCCCAGAAAGUAUACAUACGUAUGUUACGCCUACCUGUAUACAUGACCCGUGUGUGGGCUCUUUCAUGUAAGCCGAAAGUCCAUCCAUGCAUCAUGCAUGCGCGGAAAGACGGCCCAUGGCUGUUCUAUGAUGCAUGUAAGUGAUAUAACAGAUCGAUGCCUCGGCCCAGGGCAGUAGCAUCCUCC